Molecule: long non-coding RNA, 227 nt
Filed under: Elaeis guineensis (African oil palm)
Lineage: Eukaryota; Viridiplantae; Streptophyta; Magnoliopsida; Arecales; Arecaceae
Description: long non-coding RNA (EGUI_LNC039738)
Source: RNAcentral
CCUCCGACCUGAGAUCACCACGAUGACUUACAAGCAACUCACUGCACUUAGGCACUGGACUACCUGAAUUUCUAAUUCAGUGACGGAAGGCUGCUCGGUGUAGUCAAGUACUUGACUUGUCGGUGCGUGUGUCAAGAUGGGAUUGACCACUCCAGUUUAGGAGCUGUAUACAGUCAUGUUUCAAUUUAGCAAAACCUUGGCCAGGGUAGUCCUAGUGAGGAGUCACA